Podarcis raffonei (Aeolian wall lizard) is the source of this 871-nucleotide long non-coding RNA. RefSeq lists it as uncharacterized. The transcript has 5 exons. Lineage: Eukaryota; Metazoa; Chordata; Lepidosauria; Squamata; Lacertidae. The record is from RefSeq and is a predicted model, not a curated record.
UUCUUCCAUUCUAUUUUUUUAAUAUGCCUCUUUCUUCACACAUUCACUUUAUGUUCUGCAAAUCAGGUAUUAAUUCACAGUUAUUACUGAAAACAAAACAGUUGUUUAUGUACAGCUCUUAUUGGCAAUAAGUUCUUAGUCUUUACCUGUUUUACUCUGUGAUUUGAAAUACAAAAUUCAAGCCUAUUUACUGAUUCACAAUAUUAUCUCAAUAUAGAAUGGGACAACAUUUUUAAUAUUUAGACAUUCUGGAGAUGUUACGGAAUUGUCCUUGCAGAUCAUUUUAUGUAUUGAACAUGCACUGGCAAAGCAAUCAAGGACAAAUAGCUAUGGAAUCUUGUCAGCCAGAGUGGGAACAAAUACUCAAAGCAGUGACAUUUUGCAGCUGUCCAGGCAUAUCCCAUUUUACACUGGACAAAGAAUCUUACAACAGACUCAACUUUCAAGGAAGGAGCUUGAGAAUUACAAACAACCUAUUAUCUAAUCUUAGGCACUGCAGGACACUGAUGUGUGUGUGUGAAUGUACCACUUUAGAAGAAAGGAGGUGGAUUGUACCCAAAAUGAGUGUGGAUUGAGUUAUGCUACAGAGUAUGAGUAAGAAUAAUAAAAGAAUAAGAAUAGCAGGCACAAGAAGAGGCAAGGUGAACUCGGUGCAUUUCCUCUCACAUGGUGAUACAGAUAGAUGGUAGAAAUUAUUCCUGGAUAAAGAAUGCAGCGGAUCAUUUUAUCAUGCCUAGUUUGAUGUUCUGUCAGCCACUGGGAGAAAGUGUCUGCAUGAAUUAAUCAGUUGGAUGAAUUUUCUACUCCAGAGAGGAAGAUGUCACUUGGUAAGUUUUCCCUCAGUGGAAGACAGAGGGAAGUGUUUGUUUGU